CCAGCUGGCCGGGCGGCCGCGCCCGCAAGAGCCGAAAGGCUGCGGGUGAGGAAAGUCCGGGCUCCAUGGAGACACGGUGCCGGCUAACGGCCGGCGGGGGAGACCCCAGGGAAAGUGCCACAGAAAGCAAACCGCCGCGGCAUUCGCCGCGGCAAGGGUGCAAGGGUGGGG
This 171-nucleotide RNase P RNA is filed under the name Mesorhizobium sp. RNAcentral describes it as "partial RNase P RNA component class A". It matches the Rfam family "Bacterial RNase P class A", at positions 1 to 167 of the family's 367-position model. Rfam says of the family: Ribonuclease P (RNase P) is a ubiquitous endoribonuclease, found in archaea, bacteria and eukarya as well as chloroplasts and mitochondria. Its best characterised activity is the generation of mature 5'-ends of tRNAs by cleaving the 5'-leader elements of precursor-tRNAs. The record is from RNAcentral. Lineage: Bacteria; Pseudomonadati; Pseudomonadota; Alphaproteobacteria; Hyphomicrobiales; Phyllobacteriaceae.